UGGGGAAUAUUGGACAAUGGGGGAAACCCUGACGCAGCAACGCCGCGUGAGUGAUGAAGGCCUUCGGGUCGUAAAGCUCUGUCAGAGGGAAAGAAGUGUAGGGCGGAUAAUACCCGUUUUACUUGACGGUACCCUCAAAGGAAGCACCGGCUAACUCCGUG
Molecule: ribosomal RNA, 161 nt
Filed under: uncultured bacterium
Lineage: Bacteria
Description: partial 16S ribosomal RNA
Rfam family: Bacterial small subunit ribosomal RNA
Source: RNAcentral